Molecule: ribosomal RNA, 655 nt
Filed under: Vibrio tubiashii
Lineage: Bacteria; Pseudomonadati; Pseudomonadota; Gammaproteobacteria; Vibrionales; Vibrionaceae
Description: bacterial SSU rRNA
Rfam family: Bacterial small subunit ribosomal RNA
Source: RNAcentral
AGCCGUGGCUUUCGGAGCUAACGCGUUAAGUAGACCGCCUGGGGAGUACGGUCGCAAGAUUAAAACUCAAAUGAAUUGACGGGGGCCCGCACAAGCGGUGGAGCAUGUGGUUUAAUUCGAUGCAACGCGAAGAACCUUACCUACUCUUGACAUCCAGAGAACUUUCCAGAGAUGGAUUGGUGCCUUCGGGAACUCUGAGACAGGUGCUGCAUGGCUGUCGUCAGCUCGUGUUGUGAAAUGUUGGGUUAAGUCCCGCAACGAGCGCAACCCUUAUCCUUGUUUGCCAGCGAGUAAUGUCGGGAACUCCAGGGAGACUGCCGGUGAUAAACCGGAGGAAGGUGGGGACGACGUCAAGUCAUCAUGGCCCUUACGAGUAGGGCUACACACGUGCUACAAUGGCGCAUACAGAGGGCGGCCAACUUGCGAAAGUGAGCGAAUCCCAAAAAGUGCGUCGUAGUCCGGAUUGGAGUCUGCAACUCGACUCCAUGAAGUCGGAAUCGCUAGUAAUCGUGGAUCAGAAUGCCACGGUGAAUACGUUCCCGGGCCUUGUACACACCGCCCGUCACACCAUGGGAGUGGGCUGCAAAAGAAGUGGGUAGUUUAACCUUCGGGAGGACGCUCACCACUUUGUGGUUCAUGACUGGGGUGAAGUCGA